UAGGGAAUCUUCGGCAAUGGACGAACGUCUGACCGAGCAACGCCGCGUGAGUGAAGAAGGUUUUCGGAUCGUAAAACUCUGUUGUUAGAGAAGAACAAGGACGUUAGUAACUGAACGUCCCCUGACGGUAUCUAACCAGAAAGCCACGGCUAACUACGUGCCAGCAGCCGCGGUAAUACGUAGGUGGCAAGCGUUGUCCGGAUUUAUUGGGCGUAAAGCGAGCGCAGGCGGUGUCUUAAGUCUGAUGUGAAAGCCCCCGGCUCAACCGGGGAGGGUCAUUAGAAACUGGGAGACUUGAGUGCAGAAGAGGAGAGUGGAAUUCCAUGUGUAGCGGUGAAAUGCGUAGAUAUAUGGAGGAACACCAGUGGCGAAGGCGGCUCUCUGGUCUGUAACUGACGCUGAGGCUCGAAAGCGUGGGGAGCAAACAGG
Molecule: ribosomal RNA, 429 nt
Filed under: Chloroflexota bacterium
Lineage: Bacteria; Bacillati; Chloroflexota
Description: Chloroflexi bacterium partial 16S ribosomal RNA
Rfam family: Bacterial small subunit ribosomal RNA
Source: RNAcentral